Molecule: ribosomal RNA, 1360 nt
Filed under: synthetic construct
Also listed under: 1 other name
Description: bacterial SSU rRNA
Rfam family: Bacterial small subunit ribosomal RNA
Source: RNAcentral
GAUGAACGCUGGCGGCGUGCUUAACACAUGCAAGUCGAACGGGAAUUACUUUAUUGAAACUUCGGUGGAUUUAAUUUAAUUCUAGUGGCGGACGGGUGAGUAACGCGUGGGUAACCUGCCUUAUACAGGGGGAUAACAGUCAGAAAUGGCUGCUAAUACCGCAUAAGCGCACAGAGCUGCAUGGCUCAGUGUGAAAAACUCCGGUGGUAUAAGAUGGACCCGCGUUGGAUUAGCUAGUUGGUGGGGUAACGGCCCACCAAGGCGACGAUCCAUAGCCGGCCUGAGAGGGUGAACGGCCACAUUGGGACUGAGACACGGCCCAGACUCCUACGGGAGGCAGCAGUGGGGAAUAUUGCACAAUGGGGGAAACCCUGAUGCAGCGACGCCGCGUGCAGGAAGAAGGUCUUCGGAUUGUAAACUGUUGUCGCAAGGGAAGAAGACAGUGACGGUACCUUGUGAGAAAGUCACGGCUAACUACGUGCCAGCAGCCGCGGUAAUACGUAGGUGACAAGCGUUGUCCGGAUUUACUGGGUGUAAAGGGCGCGUAGGCGGACUGUCAAGUCAGUCGUGAAAUACCGGGGCUUAACCCCGGGGCUGCGAUUGAAACUGACAGCCUUGAGUAUCGGAGAGGAAAGCGGAAUUCCUAGUGUAGCGGUGAAAUGCGUAGAUAUUAGGAGGAACACCAGUGGCGAAGGCGGCUUUCUGGACGACAACUGACGCUGAGGCGCGAAAGUGUGGGGAGCAAACAGGAUUAGAUACCCUGGUAGUCCACACCCUAAACGAUGGAUACUAGGUGUAGGAGGUAUCGACCCCCUCUGUGCCGCAGUUAACACAAUAAGUAUCCCACCUGGGGAGUACGACCGCAAGGUUGAAACUCAGAGGAAUUGACGGGGGCCCGCACAAGCAGUGGAGUAUGUGGUUUAAUUCGAAGCAACGCGAAGAACCUUACCUGGGCUUGACAUCCCUGGAAUCGAGUAGAGAUACUUGAGUGCCUUCGGGAAUCAGGUGACAGGUGGUGCAUGGUUGUCGUCAGCUCGUGUCGUGAGAUGUUGGGUUAAGUCCCGCAACGAGCGCAACCCCUAUUGUCAGUUGCCAUCAUUAAGUUGGGCACUCUGGCGAGACUGCCGGUGACAAAUCGGAGGAAGGUGGGGAGGACGUCAAAUCAUCAUGCCCCUUAUGCCCAGGGCUACACACGUACUACAAUGGCCGAUAACAAAGUGCAGCGAAACCGUGAGGUGGAGCGAAUCACAAAACUCGGUCUCAGUUCAGAUUGCAGGCUGCAACUCGCCUGCAUGAAGUUGGAAUUGCUAGUAAUCGCGGAUCAGAAUGCCGCGGUGAAUACGUUCCCGGGCCUUGCACA